Molecule: ribosomal RNA, 510 nt
Filed under: uncultured methanogenic archaeon
Lineage: Archaea; Methanobacteriati; Methanobacteriota
Description: bacterial SSU rRNA
Rfam family: Archaeal small subunit ribosomal RNA
Source: RNAcentral
UGCUAUCGGAGUUCGAUUAAGCCAUGCGAGUCGAGAGGUGCAAGACCUCGGCAUACUGCUCAGUAACACGUGGACAACCUGACCUACGGAAGAGGAUAACCCCGGGAGACUGGGGAUAAUACUCUAUAGGCUAUGGAUGCUGGAAUGCUCUGUAGCUGAAAGGUCCGCCGCCGUAGGAUGGGUCUGCGGCCGAUUAGGUUGUUGUUGGGGUAACGGCCCAACAAGCCUGUAAUCGGUACGGGUUGUGGGAGCAAGAGCCCGGAGAUGGAUUCUGAGACACGAAUCCAGGCCCUACGGGGCGCAGCAGGCGCGAAAACUUUACAAUGCGGGAAACCGUGAUAGGGGAACUCCGAGUGCCCGUAAAAUCGGGCUGUCCACCAGUUUAAACAACUGGUGAAGAAAGGGCCGGGCAAGACCGGUGCCAGCCGCCGCGGUAAUACCGGCGGCUCGAGUGGUGGCCACUAUUACUGGGCUUAAAGCGUUCGUAGCUGGUUUGUUAAGUCUCUGGGG